RNAcentral lists this transfer RNA (72 nucleotides) under Phrynosoma platyrhinos (Desert horned lizard). Its description in RNAcentral is "tRNA-OTHER". The record is from RNAcentral. Lineage: Eukaryota; Metazoa; Chordata; Lepidosauria; Squamata; Phrynosomatidae.
GCCAGUGUGGCAUAGUGGUUUGAGUGUUGGACUACAAUUCUGGAGACCAGAGUUCAGUUCCCAGCUCAGCUA